This 497-nucleotide ribosomal RNA is filed under the name uncultured bacterium. RNAcentral describes it as "partial 16S ribosomal RNA". It matches the Rfam family "Bacterial small subunit ribosomal RNA", at positions 28 to 507 of the family's 1533-position model. The record is from RNAcentral.
GAUGAACGCUGGCGGCGUGCCUAAUACAUGCAAGUCGAGCGAACAGACGAGGAGCUUGCUCCUCUGACGUUAGCGGCGGACGGGUGAGUAACACGUGGAUAACCUACCUAUAAGACUGGGAUAACUUCGGGAAACCGGAGCUAAUACCGGAUAAUAUAUUGAACCGCAUGGUUCAAUAGUGAAAGACGGUUUUGCUGUCACUUAUAGAUGGAUCCGCGCCGCAUUAGCUAGUUGGUAAGGUAACGGCUUACCAAGGCGACGAUGCGUAGCCGACCUGAGAGGGUGAUCGGCCACACUGGAACUGAGACACGGUCCAGACUCCUACGGGAGGCAGCAGUAGGGAAUCUUCCGCAAUGGGCGAAAGCCUGACGGAGCAACGCCGCGUGAGUGACGAAGGUCUUCGGAUCGUAAAACUCUGUUAUUAGGGAAGAACAAAUGUGUAAGUAACUAUGCACGCCUUGACGGUACCUAAUCAGAAAGCCACGGCUAACUACGUG